GCGCGGGUGGCGGAAUUGGUAGACGCGCUGGAUUUAGGUUCCAGUGGAGCACUCCGUGGGGGUUCGAGUCCCCCCUCGCGCACCA
Molecule: transfer RNA, 85 nt
Filed under: Allochromatium vinosum
Lineage: Bacteria; Pseudomonadati; Pseudomonadota; Gammaproteobacteria; Chromatiales; Chromatiaceae
Also listed under: 7 other names
Description: tRNA-Leu
Rfam family: tRNA
About the family: Transfer RNA (tRNA) molecules are approximately 80 nucleotides in length. Their secondary structure includes four short double-helical elements and three loops (D, anti-codon, and T loops). Further hydrogen bonds mediate the characteristic L-shaped molecular structure. tRNAs have two regions of fundamental functional importance: the anti-codon, which is responsible for specific mRNA codon recognition, and the 3' end, to which the tRNAs corresponding amino acid is attached (by aminoacyl-tRNA synthetases). tRNAs cope with the degeneracy of the genetic code in two manners: having more than one tRNA (with a specific anti-codon) for a particular amino acid; and 'wobble' base-pairing, i.e. permitting non-standard base-pairing at the 3rd anti-codon position.
Source: RNAcentral